GAUUCAGUGGUGUAGAGGUAUCAUGGGCGCUUGCCAUUUCACAAAAAAAUGUGCGCCCGACCCGGGUUCGAUUCCCGGCUGAAUCA
This 86-nucleotide transfer RNA is filed under the name Tuber borchii (whitish truffle). It matches the Rfam family "tRNA". Rfam says of the family: Transfer RNA (tRNA) molecules are approximately 80 nucleotides in length. Their secondary structure includes four short double-helical elements and three loops (D, anti-codon, and T loops). Lineage: Eukaryota; Fungi; Ascomycota; Pezizomycetes; Pezizales; Tuberaceae. The record is from Rfam by way of RNAcentral.